GCUAAUAAGAGAGAUAGUGGACUAUGGUGGGCGAGUGCAGAGUGUAGAGAAUGCAGACUUGGAAUCCAAGUGCUACCCUUGUUGCCUAUCACUGAGACAUUGUUCUCUGAUGCUGAUUAUGUGAAGGAGCUUGUGGAAUGGACACUUCCCUCUUUAAGUAGUGAGGGGUGGAAGGGAAUGACCUAUGCCUUGCAAGGAGUUUAUGAUAAGCAAACAGCAUUGCAGAAUAUAAGAACGUUGAAAGGUUUUGAUGAUGGAAACUCUUACACUAAUCUCUUGUGGUGGAUUCACAGCAGAUAAGAACUCAUGAUACACAUAAGUUUGAACAAAUAAAAUGUUUCAAUUCAAUAAUUGAGGUUGCAGCUACAUAUGCAUGGAACCUUGAAUCUCAUAUCAGUUAUGUUAGUUUGUUAUUAUGGAUAUUUUUAAACUUGUUCUGGAAAAUAAAAUAUUUUAUAUAUAGACUUUGCUCCUUGUUACAUUGAAGUUUAACUCUUGUUUAAGAUUUUUAAUAUGGUCUAUAACAUCUUUAGACCGAAUAGAAAAGAGAUCAUGUUGAAGAUAAAAAAAAUAAAAGCAUUUACUUAACUUUAUCAUUUAUAUGAAGGCAUGUUUAAGGUGGUCUCAAAUGCAUCAACCUUUUAGAGAACUUUAAGAGACUAUUUGAAGUCUUUUUUAAGGUAUUAUAACAAUGUUGUGUAUAGAAAAUCUUGAAAAGUUUGAAUUCUUGUGUAUGAAAAAGCUUGAAGCAGUUUCGAAUUUUAACACGAAGGUAUAAGAUUGUUUCAUGGCAUGUGAUGGGGAUAAGAUCAGAAAGGACUGUGUAUAUUGAAGGGGAAUUUUUAUUUUUUUUUCUAUAUUUGAUAAAUCAUCUUUAUAGAUAUUAUUAAGAAAUUAUUUCUCGAGUUAGGACAGAUGGUCAAAUAAAUCCAUUUUCAUAAUUAUAAUUCUCGAACUAUUAACGUUAUUAUAAGUAAAGUUAAGUCACAAUUCGUUUUCGUCACAAAUAUAUCAAUUUUAUUUUUUUAAUACAUAUAUAACUUUUACUUAUAAUAGCAGUUCCUCUUCAUAAAAUAUUUUCAAAAUAUAAUUUACUUUUUAAAUUACAUGAUUAAUUCAUUUAUUAAAAAAAUUCUAAUUACUUCAUGCAAAAAUAUUUUUUGUGAAAAAAUCUUAAUGUAUGUUUCUCUUUGUAUAAAUUUCCAAUCAUCAAAUUGAAUAAAGUUCAAAGUUCCGAAAAAGAGAAACAAAAGGCUUUCAUAAUUGAAUAAAGUUCAAAUAUGCACUUACUUGUUUUUUAUUCCAAAAACAGAAACAAAAGGCUUUCAUUGUACUAAUAAAUAUUUUUAUAUGAUUUCCUAAGCCAAGUUAUAUGUUAUGUUAUAUAAUAAAACGAUGGUUUUUAAUAUAUAAGCACCUAAAAGUAAUUUUAUAAUAGUAAUACUAUUCCACUUAAAUACUUUAUUAUUAAAGUGAAAAAGUAUAUAAAAAAAUAUUCAGAAUUUAUUUUAAAAGAAUAAUUGUUCUUUAAAUUUUUUUUCUUUUGUCUUUUUUUUUUAACUUUUUGAAUUUUCGUCAUCGACCAAAGUUCAUUAUCGAACUUCUGACAACAAAUACUACAAAAAUGUCUAAUUAGAAUCUUAUAUCUAGAGUAAGUUCAACUUUACUCAUUCUUUUUUAAAUCGAUUUUUAGUUUUUAGGUUUUAGUAUUUUACAUAUUUUGCUGGUAGUGUUUCAUGACAAUUACAAAAUCUAUUAUCUUUAUAAAAUGUUUAGAAAAAAAAAAAACUUUGAUAGAUAUAAAUUUUAUUUUAUUUUUACAAAAAGAAGUUUCUUUAUAUGAAAUGUAAUUAAGAGCCAACAAUAAAAGAAAAUAAUUUUGUUUGCAUCAUUAAAUAAGUGAAAAUUGAUAGAAAAUAAAAUCAUGAUAAAGAUAUCACAACUACUUUUUUCUAUCCCAUUAUCAAUUUAAAAUAUCAAAUAUUACUUUUAUCUUGUUAACAUAUUUAGUUUUUAUGUUUUAAGUUAUUGGGUUUUGUUCGUUUGACCCAACUUUCCUUUUCUGUUUUAGUUAGGUUUUAUUUUUUUUUAUAUAUACACCACGUAUUUUACUCUCUAAUACACAAGUAAAUAAAAGUUUCUUUUGUAUUUUCUUUUCUCAGUCAUUGUCUCUUUUUCAUUUGCAAUUAGGGUUCAUCAGAACCUCUCUUUUUCCAUUGCGAUUUCGUGUGAUUACAUGCAUUCCAUUUGAUGCACCACAUCAGACAAAGAAUAUUCAUCUUCAUUAACAGUAAUAUAUCUAUCUAUACAUGAAUUAUAUAUUCACUAAAAUUGAAAUGAGGAAUUUAUUUAUUAUCUCCAAUAAAAAUAUCUAAAAGACCUUCUUCAACCAUAUUGUCCGUCCUUUUUAUAAAAUAUAUGAACCAAUACUAUUCCACAUUGAAUCCGAUAACUAAUGCUUAAUUGAUUUGGUAUGGUAACAAUAUACAUCCAUUGAGAUCACAAUUGUAGAUCUAGAUUUUACAAAAUUUUAACAUUAGAAUAUACUAAUAUAACAUAAAAUAUAAUUUUUCUAUCUUAAAAACAUAUUUUUAAUAAUAAAAUACAAAUUAUUAAAAUAAAAUCCUAAUAUUAAAGUGAACAUAACAUAUAUGUUCUCAAGAGAUUAGGUAUAACUUAAAUUCGAUUAUACAAUAAUUUAAAACAUAACAUAUGUGUUAUAGUGUGUUAUGUUUUAGUAAAGUAGAGUUAGAUGAUAAUUUAUUAUGGCUCAAUCAAUUAACAGAAGUUAUUCGAACAUGGCACAUGUAAACAUUAAUCGGAGGUAUUUAAAAAAGAAAAAAAAAAAGAAAGACAUUAGUGAAGAAUGCAAUGAAAAAGUUUUGGUUCCAUCGUUGGAAUUUCAUGUGCCUUGGAAAUGAACACAUGCUCUGCCUCGUAAGGGUAGGAAACUUAUGCUAUAAAAUAUAAUCAAUCAUUCAGACCUCCAACUUACUCUACAACUAAAUCCAAAAUUAAUAAACAAAGGUAAACCUCGAUUAUUAUUAAUAAGGAAAGAAUAUUUACUUUUAAACAUAUAUUUUAUUUAUCUUAUUUCGUUUAAUGUAGGUUUAGAGUCUCAGACAAUAUCAUUAAACAAAUACCAUGUGAUGAUGACAUAAUUGACAUAAUUUUUAUAAAAUCAAAUGUUCCUUAACACAAAAUUAUUAAAGUAAUUACAGUAUAAAAUGUUAUCUAAAAUCGGAAAUUAACUUGAUGAUUCAGUUUAAUGUUAGAAAUUUACAACUUUUUUCUAUAAAUGUACACAACAAUCAACACAAAUAAAUAUAUUAAAUAAUAUUUAUUAUUUUCAUCUACCUCAAAUCAAACUUUAACUUAGAUAUCAAAAUACUUUUUAUACUCCACCUAUCCAGAUUAUUAGUAAGGACCAAUUGUAACACAAGGAGAUAAAGGAAGAACAUUUUACCUUCACCAUUAUUACUUUUGAAUAUAUAUUUUUUAUUUAUCUUACUUUAUUUAAUAAUCUUAAAAAAUUGACUUUAAUUAAUCUUUGAAUUUUGGUUACACUAUCAAAUAAUGCUUAAUUUUAAGAGAAGGAUAUUUAAGAAAUAUUAAAAGAUUAAUAAAAUUAAUGUAGUAUGUAAAAUUAGUUUUUUUAUGCGUAUAAAUGAGAAUGGAAGUACUAAUUCGAAAGUAGUAUUAUUUUUCGUUUUCUAUGAAUAAUUUUUUAUUAUUUAAAAUUUUCCAAAAUAGCUUAUUAAUUUUAAUUAUACGCAUGCUAAAAAAUAAAUAAUGUAAUAAACGAGAGAUAUGAAUGAACUAUAACAAGUUAUAAUCAUUUUAAUAUAAAGAAAGAUAUCAAUUGUUUUUUUUAAUGUACGUGUUACAAGAAAAUCAUGAAAUAAAAACUAAUUUCUAGAAACCAAAAUAAUUAGUUGCAAUAGUAACUAAAUUAGAUACCAUUUUAGAAACUAAAAAGAAAUUUGAUUUCUAAAUUAGUUUCUAUUAUUGUUAAAUAGUUUCUAAAUUGGUAUCUAAUUAGCAACCAAGGUUUUAGAAACCAAAUUUAGAAACUAAAUAAUUGGUAUCUAAAACCUUAGUUGUUAAUUAGAUACCAAUUUAGAAACUAUUUAACAAUAAUACAAAAUAAUAGAAACUAAUUUAGAAACUAAUUUUUUUUUAGUUUUUAAAAUGGUCUUUAUUUUAGUUCCUAUUGUAACUAAUUAUUUUGGUCUCUAAAAAUUGGUUUCUAUUUCAUGAUUUUCUUGUAGUGGUACAAUUUCUUAAAAUUUUGAGUUUCCAAUUAAUCCAGUCUUAUAAAAAAACUGGUAAAAUAAAUAAAUAUAUAUAUAAGAGGUAUAAAGUAUUAAUGAAAGUUUCAUUUUUUUACUACUGAAUAUUUAUACUCAAAACAUAAAAAUAACUAAUAAUCAAAACAAUCAAUUUUAAAAUGUCUACAACAAUAUAACAUACUUCACAAACAUUAUCUUAUGAAACAUAAUUACGAGGAAGAGUCACAUUAAAUAAAAGUGAACAAUGACAUGGUUCCAUUAUAUAUGCUAAUGAAGACCAACUAAUUAACAUAUUGAUUGACAUUAUCUUUAUAAAAUUCUUCACCUUGAAAAACGCAUAUGUUGUAUUGUUUUCACAAGGUCCAUGUGACAACAUAUAAUAGGAUCUUCUAUUUAUUUUCUUAAACUUUUUUCUAGAGAAGUGUUGACACAAAUGUAUUUUUGGAUCACACGGUGUAGAACACUAUAAGCAUUAAUCCACCUAUAAUAUGAUUUCCUAAUAUCAUAAGUUGAAACACAUGAAAGAAAAAAUACAUGUUUUGUUGAUUCCUAUAACUUUGGACAAAGGGCAUACAAAAUCCUCCUCUCCUUGGACAAUGUCCAUCCUUCUCAUAUUGUAUUUGUUCAGCAGCAAGAUCCAUAAUAGUCUCCAAAUGAAAGGUUUAACCUUUGGUUGUGUCUUUUCCACACAAACCAACAAACCUAAACACAUCCUCUUCUUGAAAUGUUCCAAUUUUUUUUAUCUAUUUAUAUGUUGUUUUUAUAUAAUAUAUUAUUCUGGGAAUUAACAUUAGCAUUAAGAUUAUUUCUAUUAGAGGGAAAUAUGUUUAUUGAAAGGUAGUAAUUAGUGCAAUCUUUAAUGUUAGAUUGAGGAGAUCCAUUUGUUAUCUUCAUAAUGACAUUGUACUAUUGUUGAUUUUUUUUGUCUAUUUUCUUUGUAACUCUCUUAGGUCUAUUAUGGCUCUCUCCACUUUUGUUGCCUUCGUUUUUCUCACCCUCAUACACAUUUCUCCAAACAUGGAGUUUGUUCCUUAUUUUCAUGUGUAUAUGCAAAGACCUAAUGUUAUCUUUCAACAAAUUACCUUUUGUCCCAAUACUGUGCAUAAGUGUUUUGUUUCUAAGUUUAUCAUAUUGUUGGACUUUCCCAUCUUCAUACUUAUUUAUUAUAUUUCUGUUAAAGACACUCUUGCUAAUUUGGUCCAAUUUGACCUAGAUUGAUAACAUAAUUACACAAUAUUUAUGUUUGGACCAUACAGAAUGGUUCCAUUAUCGUAAAUGUUUUGUUUUGUUCGGCUCAAUUCAUUAGUCCACUUAAGACCUCCACAUUCUUGUUUUGGCAUUCCCAAUGCCAUCUAAACACACUUACACUAGCUUCCUCCUCACUCCUUGUAGGUUGUUGUGUUAUAUCUCUUAUCUUUGUACUUUCCUUAGACGUAACACUAUGGUCUAAAGGUUUUUGUGCUAAUUGUACAAUUGAUUCUUCCUGGUUUUUUACCUUGUUCCUCUUCCCACAUUGCAUGUUAUGUAUAUUUUCCUCCAUUGUCCAUUCCACCACUAGUACAAAAAUAAGAAAAGAGCUCUCCUUAUUUAAUGCGGUUCAGCGCUUAAACGCAUUCGUAAAAAACGCGGUGGCAUUUUUGAAAUUAUUUUGAUUUACAAAUGCGGUUAUUUAAAUAACCGCAUUUGUAAAUCAAGAGCUUCCAUUUACAAAUGCGGCUAAAAGUAAUAGCCGCAUUUGUAAAUCGAAGCGCUUGAUUUACAAAUGCGGUUAUUCAAAUAGCCGCAUUUGUAAAUAAAAAAGCUUGAUUUACAAAUGCGGUUUUUACGUUUAGCCGCAUUUGUAAAUGGUUUUUACCCUAAAAAUUUUACGCGCUCAACAAUUUCGUUCAUUCUCUGUUUGUGCUCAUAUCUGUUCUUCGUUUUCUCUGGUUGCGAAGUUCUGCAUUUUCAAAGGUACGUAACUGCAUUGCCCCUCAUUCUCUUGUUUCCAUUGCCCCUAACAACUGCAUUGAACUCCAAUGGCUUUCGCUUUCCAUAUUGCUUUCGUUUUUAAUGGGUUUCGCUCUACAUUUUGAAGGUGUAUUGUUCCAUUGCUUCCGUCGCUGUCGCAUUUCGCUCUCGCCGCUCCGCCGCCGUUGCCGUGUUUCCUCUUCUCCCCUUCCACUCUUCACCAACAACGUGCCCCUAAAACCCUAGCUCAUUCAGAAGAAUAUACAAAUGCGGCUAUUUCAAAUAACCGCAUUCGUAAAUCGCAUUUACAAAUGUGGCUCUAUAGCCGCAUUUGUAAAUGUAAAAUAGCCGCAUUUGAUUAGCAUUUUUGCGCUAGUGCACCCAAUUAUCUUUAGUAUCAUACCAUUGUGACUUAGUUUCCACACUUAUCUUGCUUGCCAUAGAUGAAUCUUCAAACUCCAUUGGUUCAUACCCUAUGAUCUAUCAUUUGAUACAAUUUGGUCAUCAUCCUCCAUGGUGAUAACUCCACUAAAGCUUUUUUUCUAUGAGAAACUUGAUAUAGGAUUGAUGUCCUAAUGAAUACCCCUCAACUCUAAUUUUAUGGGGAAUUUAUUGUGUCCUUCUAUAUAAAAGAAUGUACAUCGUAUUCUUACCACUUUUUUUAUGCAUUCAACACUCUUGCUAAAAAAAAGGAAUAUCAUAAGGCUAAUCACAUACUAAUUUAUUACCUAAUAACAAUUAUGAGUUUUACUUGUAAAUAUUAUUGAACAUGCCCCCAAUUAUACCCCUUUACUAAAAAACAUGUCAUUUAUCUUAUUCUCUUGUCCAAAAAUCACAAGUUGGAUUGUCCUUAAAAUAAGAUAAUAUAAUUCCUCUCAUUUUCCACAAAUCCACUCCAAUACUUGGUAGUUUAAUUUAUCAAACAUUGUUAGGUCUUUGAUUCUUCUCGUCCAACUUUCUGUAAGUCAUUUUUCUUCUUCCAUCUCUGAAUUUAUUAUCGUAUCAUUACAUUUCUCAACAUGGUCUUGAAGUCUCAUCCUUGACUUCCAUUUUUGUGUAGUAGCUUUUGACUUCACCACUUUCACAUAUGCAAGUUCGUCAAUCAUGUGUUGUCUUCCAUGUUCCAUUAUACUUUGCUUUUUCCCCUUAUUUUGGCGCAUAUGAAGUUGUUGUCUUUCAAUUUGUAUUAUUUGUACGCUUUUAUCCUUAAGGAUGUUAAAAAAAUUCACAUUCUCAAUCAUGAGAUAAAGUUCUUUUUCCAUUUUCCUUUCAUCUCUCACAACCUUAAACCUAAAAAAUUCAAAUCUUUGUCCUACUUUAUUCUUUCACCUAGAUAUGAAGAUCUCUCAAACCUCAUCUCAAGAAUCUUCCACAAAUCUUCUUCAUUGUAAGCGCCUACGAACCUAUAAAAGAAGAAGGUGGACAUGUUUUCUCAAACUCACCAUAUCUCAAAAAUAUUUUUCAUGAAUCUUUUCACUCUAAGCACUUGAGAACUUAUAAAACAAGAAGGUAAAGAUGUUGUUUCAGUAAUUCUCUCAACUUUUCUUUUCGCUCGACCUCGCUCAUAAUCGAUUACUCCCCACAUUUUUAUUAUCUUAUUUAUAAUUAAUGUGAAAUAUUUAAAAAAAUAGUAUAUCCCAUCAUAUCCUUAAUAUUAGUGGAUUUACCAUGUGAAUAACAUAAUAAGUGAUUUAAAAUAUAUUUAAAUAUUUUCUUAAAAUUUGAGAUUGAAUUUAGUUUAACUCCAUAAUAAUAACAUGUAAAAUGUUUAAUACUCUAUAUCUAGUUAUCUUCAUGAGAAUUUGUAUUUAAAAUCUUCAUCUUAUAAAUUUAUGUGAAAUUUAAUUAAAUUUAAAUUCAUGUGUUGAGAUAAUGUUAAAAUCUUUUCUAUACAUUGUUUAUUGUUGUUCAAAUUACAUACAAAUGUUUAAUUUUGCAAUCACUAUGUCGAUAAAUCUUAUCCUGAAUUUGAGAGAGGGUAUUACAUAUCCAACUUAGACUGCUAUAUAACAAAUAUAUUACUUACAAGAUAAUAAUUAUAUAUCUAAUAAACUAAUGGAUUGAAUGAGAUUUAAACUUGAUCUCUAAGAUUUCUUUAUCUUACUAAUUAUUUGAAACCUCUUUAUUGAUUCAUCAAUAAUCUACCCACAAAAUUGUAGUCUUUGUAAACUUGACAAAUUUUUAAUCGUGUUAAAAAAUGUGAUAAUGUGCUUAUCAUAUGCUAAUGUCAAACUUGACCUAUACUUUAUAUAUGAUUAUCAUACAUCUAGUUGUUCUUUCAUCUUCUUUAUUAUAUCUAUUAAUUGUUUUUCUCUCUUUAUCUUGCUUGUUUCCACUUAUAGACUCUAAAAUGACAUUCAGCAUUAGUAACGAUUAAAAGAAUAAGAAAUAAUAAGAUCAACACAUUAUUUUAUUUUUAAUGAAACUAUUUUAAUAAUAAACACUGCACAGUGGCAGCCGGGCAAGAUUAUAAAUUUGGGAAGUGUUGUGUUAACUUAACACUUCAAGAUUUAUUAUCCCUUCUUGCAACUACUUUUAUUAAUAUUUCAAUUAAAUAACCUAAUUCAAUAUUUUAUUAGUAUAUAGAAUUAUUAAAUGGUUGUAAAUGCAUGUUUGAAAUAGUUUUUUUCUCUAAGGGAAAAAAUAUUUUAACACCAAUUUUUAUAAAUAAUUUCAUAUCAAAACUGCGAUUAAAAUAAUAAAUUAAUAAAUUAAGUUAAAAGUAUUUCUUUCUUAACGUUCAUCUUGUAAUUGUAUAUAUUACUAUUUUAUUGGAAUACAGUAUUUUAUUAGAAAAAUCAGUUAAAAGUAAUGUAUUUAAUGAAUAAGAUAUUUUUCCUUAACUAAGACAUAAAUUAAAUUUUAAUAAAUAGUUAUUAUUAAGAGUUGUUAGGAAGUGGUAGAAGUUUUAAGUAUCACUCUUCUUUUCUUCAUUAUACCUUAGAAUUUCUCGUUUAUAAAAGUCAACCAAUAUGCCAAACAAACUCUUAUCUCUUUGCUUAUAAAGUGGCUUAGGCUGCGGCACCACACAACACUGCAAGAAGCAUUCACAAACAACAAUGUCUUCUUCAUCUUCUUUUCUCUUCCCUCAAACUCAAUCCACAGUUCUUCCAGACCCUUCAACCUACUUCUCCUCUAACCUUCUUUCAUCUCCACUUCCCACAAACUCUUUCUUCCAAAACUAUGUUAUCCCAAACGGGUCACAACCUGAGUACAUUCACCCUUACCUCAUCAAAAGUACAAACUCCUCACUAUCAGCCUCAUACCCUCUUCUCCUCUUCACCACAGCACUCUUGUACCAAGCUUUUGUGCCAGAUCUCACCAUCUCUUCCACUCAAACACACUCACAGCAACAAAACCGUGUAAUCUCAUCAUUCAGUGACCUUGGUGUCACUUUGGAUAUUCCCUCCUCCAACCUCAGGUUCUUUCUCUCAAGAGGAAGCCCUUUUAUAACUGCUUCCGUCACUUCUUCAACAUCUCUUUCUAUCACAACACUGUACACCAUACUCUCUUUGUCUUCCAACAAUGAGAACAACACCAAGUACACCCUUAAGCUUAACAACACUCAGACAUGGCUCAUAUACACCUCCUCCCCCAUCCAUUUCAACCAUAAUGCUUCAGAGGCUACGUCCAAGCCAUUUUCUGGCAUCAUUCGUGUAGCAGUGCUGCCAAAUCCUAACUAUGAGACGAUUCUUGACAAGUACAGCUCUUGUUACCCUUUGUUGGGUGAUGCAACACUAGAGGAGCCUUCCCGUGUGGUGUAUCAAUGGCAAAAGGAAGGGUCUGGGGAUUUGCUCAUGCUGGCUCACCCUCUUCAUGUUAAGCUUUUAUCAAAUAAUAAUAACGGGAAUGUUACUUUGCUGAGUGAUUUUAAGUACAGAAGCAUUGAUGGUGAUCUUGUUGGUGUUGUUGGAGAUUCAUGGAUAUUGCAAACGGAUCGUAUUCCUGUGACAUGGUAUUCUAACAACGGAGUGGAAACAAAUUCAUAUGAUGAGAUUGUCUCAGCGCUUGUUAAGGACGUGCAAGCGCUUAAUUCUUCAGCAAUAGGAACAACUUCAUCUUAUUUUUAUGGAAAGCGCGUUGGAAGGGCCGCAAGGUUGGCAUUGAUAGCGGAAGAAGUGUCGUUUUCAAAGGUUGUUCCCACGGUUACGGAUUUUCUUAAAGAGGCCAUUGAGCCUUGGUUAGAUGGAACUUUCGAAGGGAACGGUUUUCUAUAUGAAAAUAAAUGGGGUGGACUUGUAACCAAACUGGGGUCAACGGAUUCAAGCGCUGAUUUUGGGUUUGGAGUUUACAAUGAUCACCAUUACCAUUUGGGGUACUUUCUAUAUGGAAUUGCGGUUCUUGCAAAGAUUGAUCCCGAGUGGGGACAAAAAUACAAGCCACAAGUUUAUUCACUUGUGACAGAUUUUAUGAACUUGGGUCAAAGGUAUAACAGAAAUUAUCCACGUCUAAGGUGUUUUGACCUUUAUACGUUACAUUCUUGGGCUGCGGGAGUGACUGAAUUUGAAGAUGGUAGGAAUCAAGAAAGCACGAGUGAAGCUGUGAAUGCAUACUAUUCAGCAGCGUUGGUGGGUCUGGCAUAUGGUGACUCGAGUCUUGUUGCCACUGGGUCAACGUUGGUGGCGUUGGAAAUUCUAGCUGCACAAACUUGGUGGCAUGUGAAAGUGGAAGACAACUUGUACGAAGAAGAAUUUGCAAAAGACAAUAGAAUAGUGGGGAUUGUGUGGGCUAAUAAGAGGGAUAGUAAGUUAUGGUGGGCCGGUGCAGACUGUAGAGAAUGCAGACUUGGAAUCCAAGUGCUACCCUUGUUGCCUAUCACUGAGACACUGUUCUCUGAUGCUGAUUAUGUGAAGGAGCUUGUGGAAUGGACAUUUCCCUCUUUAAGUAGUGAGGGGUGGAAGGGAAUGACCUAUGCCUUGCAAGGAGUUUAUGAUAAGCAAACAG
This 11186-nucleotide long non-coding RNA is filed under the name Phaseolus vulgaris (common bean). Its description in RNAcentral is "long non-coding RNA (PVUL_LNC001399)". Lineage: Eukaryota; Viridiplantae; Streptophyta; Magnoliopsida; Fabales; Fabaceae. The record is from RNAcentral.